GGAUGGCAGAGUAGGCGAAGUUAGAGGAGUGAUGGGGCUUGAGGGAGAGAUUCUCGGGAGAGGAUCUUGAAGCGAGGAGCUCAAAAGAAAUGCGACAGUAGCUACUACAACUCUCGCUGCUCAUUGAACUGUUGGUAGAAUUAGUGGUCUUGAAACUGAGAUCACCGUCGGAGGAGUCGCGGUGGCCGCACUCUAACAUCUUAAAAAUCAAGAAUCCAAUCGUGUAGGCUUCCUUUUUUCUCUCCCACUCUCGCUGGCGAGAAGAAGAAAGAAUUAAAAAAAAAAAUGUCAAAGGGCGAAAAAGAAAUGGAAUCUGACAAA
RNAcentral lists this unclassified non-coding RNA (321 nucleotides) under Hevea brasiliensis (rubber tree). The record is from RNAcentral. Lineage: Eukaryota; Viridiplantae; Streptophyta; Magnoliopsida; Malpighiales; Euphorbiaceae.